AACAUCUAAUCUGACUGCUGCGAGAGGACUGGGCCGCAUGUGAGUGCUUUGGGACGGUGUGGGGCCCACGGCAGCACCCGCUGCUCGUUGAGAAGAGUAAGAACGAUACGUGCUUUCACGUCAGUCUCCAAUAACACCAGAAAAAGUCGCUAGAUUUGUCGCUAGUCGCUUUUUUGAAAAAGUCUCGCUAGAGGGGUCUGAAUACUCGCUAAAUAUAGCGACAAAGUCGCUAAGUUGGCAACACUGCCCACAUUAGCUAAACAUGAAUAUACUAUAACCACAUUUCAUAUGCGUGUAUUACUAGCACAGAUGUAAACAUAAUCAGAUAAGAGAGAUCGGUUCCCAAUUUAGCCUUAACAUUAAGGUCUAACGUUAACUUACACAGCGACAACUGCCUUGUUCAGGGGCAGAACGACAGAUGUUUACCUUGUCAGCCCGGGGAUUUGAUGUCGUUUACCGGCCCAACGCUGUAACCCACAAGGCUACUUGCCUCUCCUGAAACCACCUACUUUGGCCGAGAACCAAUCAACAGAAUCAGGGCAGAACCUUCAGUGGACCAGCAUGGGUUGAAGGGGGGUUCAAUAUGUCUGGUUGUUCCAGAACCUCCUGAGAUGAUCAAAGGACUUCAAUGGAGGAAGGACAGUGAUGUAAUAUUUGGAGACAAAGAGAUCUCUCCUAAAUACAAGGAUAAGGUGGACUAUAACAAUGAUAACCAUUCUCUGUGUAUUAAGAAUCUAAUGGAAACUGACAGUGGAAUUUACAUGGUAAACUACAGGAAACAUUGGAAACAAUCAACUACUACAUAUAGACUGUUAGUGGAGGAUCAUGUUCCCAAACCAGUCAUGGAUGUCACAUCUCUCAACACAAGUGUGGGACUCUGUGAUGUCACAGUGAACUGUUCAGUUAAAGAUGGCUGGAUGUUGUCUGUCUGUGACAGCGGUCAGUGUACACUGUCACAACAGUCUCCGUCACUAACCGGUGGUAACAUGACCAUCUCCGUAUUGACUGGAAGGAUCCAAUGCACCAGCAGCAACCACGUCAGCACACAGACCAUCUCUCAACCCAUGGAGGACUGUAGUGGUAAUGUGAAAGCCUCAGUGUUACCAGUUGGCACCAUUGUGGGCUGUGUUACUGGUAUAUUACUCCUAGUUGCUGUGUUACUUGGUGUUGGAUACAUCAAACAUACCAGAAGACAGAAAAUCCCUAAAGAACAAAGUCCACUAGAAGAGGUCAUUGUUCCAAGAGUUUACAACUCAGUGAAGACCUCACCAGGGAGAGAAGAACCACAGCAUCUCCUUACCAGAACCACAGCCCUGUCCUGACCAGAACCACAGCACUCUCCUGUCCAGAACCACAUCACUCUCCUGUCCAGAACCACAUAUAUAUACAUUUUUAUAUUCCAUUUCAUGGAAGUUUCUUUAUCCAUGAAAUGAAGUGGGUGGAGAACAAACCCCUCUUCACAUUGUUACAGAUAGAAUUGAACCAUUAUUUUGAAAUGAUCAGUAAAAGUGGAAAUACAAAAAAGCAAUAUGUAUCAUAAAAUGUUUUGACAAACUGAAAAUGUAUCUUGACAUGUAGUACCCGUCUGUUAGUUCUUCUCACUGGUGGAUUUGGUGGUAUCCUGUAUAGCUUCCUGCAUUUACUCCCAGCAAGCACAAAACCCUUCAUAGAGUUGGUCCAUACUGACUGUCUCUGUCAUUUUGAGGGAAAACACCUGCUCCAGAUCAGUGAAGGAGAGGUUUUGUUGCAUGUUUAUCCAUAUUUCGUUGAUAUGCCAAACCGAGAGAACAACAACAGAAAUUACUUUGCAGGAAUUGGCGUGUUUACUGUGAUUUGAUGAAUAUACGGGACAAGGGAGGUCCCGUAUGGGACAAACCAAUUUAGCCCAAUAUAAGAGCCAUCCCGGCUAAUACGGGACAGUUGCCAACCCUAUUUGACGUUUUCAAAUUAAACUCUCAUUUAACGUGUGAAAUAGUGUUAUUUGACGCGUGUAUUUUUUUGACCCGCAAAGACUCAAACUGGGUUCCAUUCUGUAAAGCCUCGUUCACUUCAAAUCCAUUUGUUUUGCACAUCCAAUUCAAAACAUAUUUUUUCCUGCAGUCUGAACAGUCAAAUAGCACAUGGAAUAGGAUAUUUUAAGCUGCCUUCCUGGUGGUUUGAAGUCAGAUACAAAUAGGAUUACUGGCCAUGUGACUUGUUGAAUGGUCAAAUCUGAAGUGUACUUUUGUAUAUUAUCUACCUCACUUGCUUUGGCAAUGUUAACAUGUGUUUCCCAUGUCAAUAAAGCCCCUUGAAUUGAGACAAAAAGUGAGUAAAAAACACACAAAAAAUGUUCAGAACUACAAAUGAACUUUCUUCUGUCGAUUUUGGGUUGUAUAAUGUCACAAUUCCAACCCUCCUCCUUGAUCCGGGCUUGGGACCGGCAAAAGUGACCCGAAAGAGACACUGGCGGAGUUAGUUUUUUUUAUUGGAUUAUUUACUUUAUAUUUUUAGUUUAGUUUUAUACAUUUACAUCCCGCACUGAAUGUAAACCAGGGCGGAAAUCAGUUCCGGCGGCUUCGCGCAUGCGCGAUUCAUUUUCAGUCUGGACGCGGAGGGGUGAACAUCUCCUCUGACUGCUGCGAGAGGACUGGGCCGCAUGUGAGUGCUUUGGGACGGUGUGGGGCCCACGGCAGCACCCGCUGCUCGUUGAGAAGAGUAAGAACGAUACGUGCUUUCACGUCAGUCUCCAAUAACACCAGAAAAAGUCGCUAGAUUUGUCGCUAGUCGCUUUUUUGAAAAAGUCUCGCUAGAGGGGUCUGAAUACUCGCUAAAUAUAGCGACAAAGUCGCUAAGUUGGCAACACUGCCCACAUUAGCUAAACAUGAAUAUACUAUAACCACAUUUCAUAUGCGUGUAUUACUAGCACAGAUGUAAACAUAAUCAGAUAAGAGAGAUCGGUUCCCAAUUUAGCCUUAACAUUAAGGUCUAACGUUAACUUACACAGCGACAACUGCCUUGUUCAGGGGCAGAACGACAGAUGUUUACCUUGUCAGCCCGGGGAUUUGAUGUCGUUUACCGGCCCAACGCUGUAACCCACAAGGCUACUUGCCUCUCCUGAAACCACCUACUUUGGCCGAGAACCAAUCAACAGAAUCAGGGCAGAACCUUCAGUGGACCAGCAUGGGUUGAAGGGGGGUUCAAUAUGUCUGGUUGUUCCAGAACCUCCUGAGAUGAUCAAAGGACUUCAAUGGAGGAAGGACAGUGAUGUAAUAUUUGGAGACAAAGAGAUCUCUCCUAAAUACAAGGAUAAGGUGGACUAUAACAAUGAUAACCAUUCUCUGUGUAUUAAGAAUCUAAUGGAAACUGACAGUGGAAUUUACAUGGUAAACUACAGGAAACAUUGGAAACAAUCAACUACUACAUAUAGACUGUUAGUGGAGGAUCAUGUUCCCAAACCAGUCAUGGAUGUCACAUCUCUCAACACAAGUGUGGGACUCUGUGAUGUCACAGUGAACUGUUCAGUUAAAGAUGGCUGGAUGUUGUCUGUCUGUGACAGCGGUCAGUGUACACUGUCACAACAGUCUCCGUCACUAACCGGUGGUAACAUGACCAUCUCCGUAUUGACUGGAAGGAUCCAAUGCACCAGCAGCAACCACGUCAGCACACAGACCAUCUCUCAACCCAUGGAGGACUGUAGUGGUAAUGUGAAAGCCUCAGUGUUACCAGUUGGCACCAUUGUGGGCUGUGUUACUGGUAUAUUACUCCUAGUUGCUGUGUUACUUGGUGUUGGAUACAUCAAACAUACCAGAAGACAGAAAAUCCCUAAAGAACAAAGUCCACUAGAAGAGGUCAUUGUUCCAAGAGUUUACAACUCAGUGAAGACCUCACCAGGGAGAGAAGAACCACAGCAUCUCCUUACCAGAACCACAGCCCUGUCCUGACCAGAACCACAUCACUCUCCUGUCCAGAACCACAUCACUCUCCUGUCCAGAACCACAUAUAUAUACAUUUUUAUAUUCCAUUUCAUGGAAGUUUCUUUAUCCAUGAAAUGAAGUGGGUGGAGAACAAACCCCUCUUCACAUUGUUACAGAUAGAAUUGAACCAUUAUUUUGAAAUGAUCAGUAAAAGUGGAAAUACAAAAAAGCAAUAUGUAUCAUAAAAUGUUUUGACAAACUGAAAAUGUAUCUUGACAUGUAGUACCCGUCUGUUAGUUCUUCUCACUGGUGGAUUUGGUGGUAUCCUGUAUAGCUUCCUGCAUUUACUCCCAGCAAGCACAAAACCCUUCAUAGAGUUGGUCCAUACUGACUGUCUCUGUCAUUUUGAGGGAAAACACCUGCUCCAGAUCAGUGAAGGAGAGGUUUUGUUGCAUGUUUAUCCAUAUUUCGUUGAUAUGCCAAACCGAGAGAACAACAACAGAAAUUACUUUGCAGGAAUUGGCGUGUUUACUGUGAUUUGAUGAAUAUACGGGACAAGGGAGGUCCCGUAUGGGACAAACCAAUUUAGCCCAAUAUAAGAGCCAUCCCGGCUAAUACGGGACAGUUGCCAACCCUAUUUGACGUUUUCAAAUUAAACUCUCAUUUAACGUGUGAAAUAGUGUUAUUUGACGCGUGUAUUUUUUUGACCCGCAAAGACUCAAACUGGGUUCCAUUCUGUAAAGCCUCGUUCACAUCAAAUCCAUUUGUUUUGCACAUCCAAUUCAAAACGUAUUUUUUCCUGCAGUCUGAACAGUCAAAUAGCACAUGGAAUAGGAUAUUUUAAGCUGCCUUCCUGGUGGUUUGAAGUCAGACACAAAUAGGAUUACUGGCCAUGUGACUUGUUGAAUGGUCAAAUCUGAAGUGUACUUUUGUAUAUUAUCUACCUCACUUGCUUUGGCAAUGUUAACAUGUGUUUCCCAUGUCAAUAAAGCCCCUUGAAUUGAGACAAAAAGUGAGUAAAAAACACACAAAAAAUGUUCAGAACUACAAAUGAACUUUCUUCUGUCGAUUUUGGGUUGUAUAAUGUCACAAUUCCAACCCUCCUCCUUGAUCCGGGCUUGGGACCGGCAAAAGUGACCCGAAAGAGACACUGGCGGAGUUAGUUUUUUUUAUUGGAUUAUUUACUUUAUAUUUUUAGUUUAGUUUUAUACAUUUACAUCCCGCACUGAAUGUAAACCAGGGCGGAAAUCAGUUCCGGCGGCUUCGCGCAUGCGCGAUUCAUUUUCAGUCUGGACGCGGAGGGGUGAACAUCUCCUCUGACUGCUGCGAGAGGACUGGGCCGCAUGUGAGUGCUUUGGGACGGUGUGGGGCCCACGGCAGCACCCGCUGCUCGUUGAGAAGACGACAACUGCCUUGUUCAGGGGCAGAACGACAGAUGUUUACCUUGUCAGCCCGGGGAUUUGAUGUCGUUUACCGGCCCAACGCUGUAACCCACAAGGCUACUUGCCUCUCCUGAAACCACCUACUUUGGCCGAGAACCAAUCAACAGAAUCAGGGCAGAACCUUCAGUGGACCAGCAUGGGUUGAAGGGGGGUUCAAUAUGUCUGGUUGUUCCAGAACCUCCUGAGAUGAUCAAAGGACUUCAAUGGAGGAAGGACAGUGAUGUAAUAUUUGGAGACAAAGAGAUCUCUCCUAAAUACAAGGAUAAGGUGGACUAUAACAAUGAUAACCAUUCUCUGUGUAUUAAGAAUCUAAUGGAAACUGACAGUGGAAUUUACAUGGUAAACUACAGGAAACAUUGGAAACAAUCAACUACUACAUAUAGACUGUUAGUGGAGGAUCAUGUUCCCAAACCAGUCAUGGAUGUCACAUCUCUCAACACAAGUGUGGGACUCUGUGAUGUCACAGUGAACUGUUCAGUUAAAGAUGGCUGGAUGUUGUCUGUCUGUGACAGCGGUCAGUGUACACUGUCACAACAGUCUCCGUCACUAACCGGUGGUAACAUGACCAUCUCCGUAUUGACUGGAAGGAUCCAAUGCACCAGCAGCAACCACGUCAGCACACAGACCAUCUCUCAACCCAUGGAGGACUGUAGUGGUAAUGUGAAAGCCUCAGUGUUACCAGUUGGCACCAUUGUGGGCUGUGUUACUGGUAUAUUACUCCUAGUUGCUGUGUUACUUGGUGUUGGAUACAUCAAACAUACCAGAAGACAGAAAAUCCCUAAAGAACAAAGUCCACUAGAAGAGGUCAUUGUUCCAAGAGUUUACAACUCAGUGAAGACCUCACCAGGGAGAGAAGAACCACAGCAUCUCCUUACCAGAACCACAGCCCUGUCCUGACCAGAACCACAGCACUCUCCUGUCCAGAACCACAUCACUCUCCUGUCCAGAACCACAUAUAUAUACAUUUUUAUAUUCCAUUUCAUGGAAGUUUCUUUAUCCAUGAAAUGAAGUGGGUGGAGAACAAACCCCUCUUCACAUUGUUACAGAUAGAAUUGAACCAUUAUUUUGAAAUGAUCAGUAAAAGUGGAAAUACAAAAAAGCAAUAUGUAUCAUAAAAUGUUUUGACAAACUGAAAAUGUAUCUUGACAUGUAGUACCCGUCUGUUAGUUCUUCUCACUGGUGGAUUUGGUGGUAUCCUGUAUAGCUUCCUGCAUUUACUCCCAGCAAGCACAAAACCCUUCAUAGAGUUGGUCCAUACUGACUGUCUCUGUCAUUUUGAGGGAAAACACCUGCUCCAGAUCAGUGAAGGAGAGGUUUUGUUGCAUGUUUAUCCAUAUUUCGUUGAUAUGCCAAACCGAGAGAACAACAGCAGAAAUUACUUUGCAGGAAUUGGCGUGUUUACUGUGAUUUGAUGAAUAUACGGGACAAGGGAGGUCCCGUAUGGGACAAACCAAUUUAGCCCAAUAUAAGAGCCAUCCCGGCUAAUACGGGACAGUUGCCAACCCUAUUUGACGUUUUCAAAUUAAACUCUCAUUUAACGUGUGAAAUAGUGUUAUUUGACGCGUGUAUUUUUUUGACCCGCAAAGACUCAAACUGGGUUCCAUUCUGUAAAGCCUCGUUCACAUCAAAUCCAUUUGUUUUGCACAUCCAAUUCAAAACGUAUUUUUUCCUGCAGUCUGAACAGUCAAAUAGCACAUGGAAUAGGAUAUUUUAAGCUGCCUUCCUGGUGGUUUGAAGUCAGAUACAAAUAGGAUUACUGGCCAUGUGACUUGUUGAAUGGUCAAAUCUGAAGUGUACUUUUGUAUAUUAUCUACCUCACUUGCUUUGGCAAUGUUAACAUGUGUUUCCCAUGUCAAUAAAGCCCCUUGAAUUGAGACAAAAAGUGAGUAAAAAACACACAAAAAAUGUUCAGAACUACAAAUGAACUUUCUUCUGUCGAUUUUGGGUUGUAUAAUGUCACAAUUCCAACCCUCCUCCUUGAUCCGGGCUUGGGACCGGCAAAAGUGACCCGAAAGAGACACUGGCGGAGUUAGUUUUUUUUAUUGGAUUAUUUACUUUAUAUUUUUAGUUUAGUUUUAUACAUUUACAUCCCGCACUGAAUGUAAACCAGGGCGGAAAUCAGUUCCGGCGGCUUCGCGCAUGCGCGAUUCAUUUUCAGUCUGGACGCGGAGGGGUGAACAUCUCCUCUGACUGCUGCGAGAGGACUGGGCCGCAUGUGAGUGCUUUGGGACGGUGUGGGGCCCACGGCAGCACCCGCUGCUCGUUGAGAAGAGGGCAGAACGACAGAUGUUUACCUUGUCAGCCCGGGGAUUUGAUGUCGUUUACCGGCCCAACGCUGUAACCCACAAGGCUACUUGCCUCUCCUGAAACCACCUACUUUGGCCGAGAACCAAUCAACAGAAUCAGGGCAGAACCUUCAGUGGACCAGCAUGGGUUGAAGGGGGGUUCAAUAUGUCUGGUUGUUCCAGAACCUCCUGAGAUGAUCAAAGGACUUCAAUGGAGGAAGGACAGUGAUGUAAUAUUUGGAGACAAAGAGAUCUCUCCUAAAUACAAGGAUAAGGUGGACUAUAACAAUGAUAACCAUUCUCUGUGUAUUAAGAAUCUAAUGGAAACUGACAGUGGAAUUUACAUGGUAAACUACAGGAAACAUUGGAAACAAUCAACUACUACAUAUAGACUGUUAGUGGAGGAUCAUGUUCCCAAACCAGUCAUGGAUGUCACAUCUCUCAACACAAGUGUGGGACUCUGUGAUGUCACAGUGAACUGUUCAGUUAAAGAUGGCUGGAUGUUGUCUGUCUGUGACAGCGGUCAGUGUACACUGUCACAACAGUCUCCGUCACUAACCGGUGGUAACAUGACCAUCUCCGUAUUGACUGGAAGGAUCCAAUGCACCAGCAGCAACCACGUCAGCACACAGACCAUCUCUCAACCCAUGGAGGACUGUAGUGGUAAUGUGAAAGCCUCAGUGUUACCAGUUGGCACCAUUGUGGGCUGUGUUACUGGUAUAUUACUCCUAGUUGCUGUGUUACUUGGUGUUGGAUACAUCAAACAUACCAGAAGACAGAAAAUCCCUAAAGAACAAAGUCCACUAGAAGAGGUCAUUGUUCCAAGAGUUUACAACUCAGUGAAGACCUCACCAGGGAGAGAAGAACCACAGCAUCUCCUUACCAGAACCACAGCCCUGUCCUGACCAGAACCACAGCACUCUCCUGUCCAGAACCACAUCACUCUCCUGUCCAGAACCACAUAUAUAUACAUUUUUAUAUUCCAUUUCAUGGAAGUUUCUUUAUCCAUGAAAUGAAGUGGGUGGAGAACAAACCCCUCUUCACAUUGUUACAGAUAGAAUUGAACCAUUAUUUUGAAAUGAUCAGUAAAAGUGGAAAUACAAAAAAGCAAUAUGUAUCAUAAAAUGUUUUGACAAACUGAAAAUGUAUCUUGACAUGUAGUACCCGUCUGUUAGUUCUUCUCACUGGUGGAUUUGGUGGUAUCCUGUAUAGCUUCCUGCAUUUACUCCCAGCAAGCACAAAACCCUUCAUAGAGUUGGUCCAUACUGACUGUCUCUGUCAUUUUGAGGGAAAACACCUGCUCCAGAUCAGUGAAGGAGAGGUUUUGUUGCAUGUUUAUCCAUAUUUCGUUGAUAUGCCAAACCGAGAGAACAACAACAGAAAUUACUUUGCAGGAAUUGGCGUGUUUACUGUGAUUUGAUGAAUAUACGGGACAAGGGAGGUCCCGUAUGGGACAAACCAAUUUAGCCCAAUAUAAGAGCCAUCCCGGCUAAUACGGGACAGUUGCCAACCCUAUUUGACGUUUUCAAAUUAAACUCUCAUUUAACGUGUGAAAUAGUGUUAUUUGACGCGUGUAUUUUUUUGACCCGCAAAGACUCAAACUGGGUUCCAUUCUGUAAAGCCUCGUUCACUUCAAAUCCAUUUGUUUUGCACAUCCAAUUCAAAACAUAUUUUUUCCUGCAGUCUGAACAGUCAAAUAGCACAUGGAAUAGGAUAUUUUAAGCUGCCUUCCUGGUGGUUUGAAGUCAGAUACAAAUAGGAUUACUGGCCAUGUGACUUGUUGAAUGGUCAAAUCUGAAGUGUACUUUUGUAUAUUAUCUACCUCACUUGCUUUGGCAAUGUUAACAUGUGUUUCCCAUGUCAAUAAAGCCCCUUGAAUUGAGACAAAAAGUGAGUAAAAAACACACAAAAAAUGUUCAGAACUACAAAUGAACUUUCUUCUGUCGAUUUUGGGUUGUAUAAUGUCACAAUUCCAACCCUCCUCCUUGAUCCGGGCUUGGGACCGGCAAAAGUGACCCGAAAGAGACACUGGCGGAGUUAGUUUUUUUUAUUGGAUUAUUUACUUUAUAUUUUUAGUUUAGUUUUAUACAUUUACAUCCCGCACUGAAUGUAAACCAGGGCGGAAAUCAGUUCCGGCGGCUUCGCGCAUGCGCGAUUCAUUUUCAGUCUGGACGCGGAGGGGUGAACAUCUCCUCUGACUGCUGCGAGAGGACUGGGCCGCAUGUGAGUGCUUUGGGACGGUGUGGGGCCCACGGCAGCACCCGCUGCUCGUUGAGAAGAGUAAGAACGAUACGUGCUUUCACGUCAGUCUCCAAUAACACCAGAAAAAGUCGCUAGAUUUGUCGCUAGUCGCUUUUUUGAAAAAGUCUCGCUAGAGGGGUCUGAAUACUCGCUAAAUAUAGCGACAAAGUCGCUAAGUUGGCAACACUGCCCACAUUAGCUAAACAUGAAUAUACUAUAACCACAUUUCAUAUGCGUGUAUUACUAGCACAGAUGUAAACAUAAUCAGAUAAGAGAGAUCGGUUCCCAAUUUAGCCUUAACAUUAAGGUCUAACGUUAACUUACACAGCGACAACUGCCUUGUUCAGGGGCAGAACGACAGAUGUUUACCUUGUCAGCCCGGGGAUUUGAUGUCGUUUACCGGCCCAACGCUGUAACCCACAAGGCUACUUGCCUCUCCUGAAACCACCUACUUUGGCCGAGAACCAAUCAACAGAAUCAGGGCAGAACCUUCAGU
Molecule: non-coding RNA, 10360 nt
Organism: Oncorhynchus mykiss (rainbow trout)
Lineage: Eukaryota; Metazoa; Chordata; Actinopteri; Salmoniformes; Salmonidae
Source: RefSeq, a predicted model, not a curated record